Molecule: ribosomal RNA, 254 nt
Filed under: Clostridioides difficile
Lineage: Bacteria; Bacillati; Bacillota; Clostridia; Peptostreptococcales; Peptostreptococcaceae
Description: partial 16S ribosomal RNA
Rfam family: Bacterial small subunit ribosomal RNA
Source: RNAcentral
CCGCGUGAGUGAUGAAGGCCUUCGGGUCGUAAAACUCUGUCCUCAAGGAAGAUAAUGACGGUACUUGAGGAGGAAGCCCCGGCUAACUACGUGCCAGCAGCCGCGGUAAUACGUAGGGGGCUAGCGUUAUCCGGAUUUACUGGGCGUAAAGGGUGCGUAGGCGGUCUUUCAAGUCAGGAGUGAAAGGCUACGGCUCAACCGUAGUAAGCUCUUGAAACUGGGAGACUUGAGUGCAGGAGAGGAGAGUGGAAUUC